Molecule: long non-coding RNA, 251 nt
Organism: Canis lupus familiaris (dog)
Lineage: Eukaryota; Metazoa; Chordata; Mammalia; Carnivora; Canidae
Exons: 2
Source: RefSeq, a predicted model, not a curated record
GAGAGGAGGUGAGUGACAGCAGCAUUGUGACAUAGCAUUAGGCUACCGCUCACCUCCCAACAAUACAUCACAAGGAGGAACAUCUGGCUCUGGGCCACAGUUCACCAUGGGUAACUGAAACUGCAGAAGAGAAAAGACUCAAGAGUCAAGCUGAAGAAAUUCCUAAUGGCCUAAGAAGGGACAAUUUCAACAUGAAAUAAUAAUACAAAUAAUAAUAAUAUAUGACUCAAAUAUACAAAGUAUUUGAAAAA